Molecule: ribosomal RNA, 253 nt
Filed under: uncultured bacterium
Lineage: Bacteria
Description: partial 16S ribosomal RNA
Rfam family: Bacterial small subunit ribosomal RNA
Source: RNAcentral
UACAGAGGUCUCAAGCGUUGUUCGGAUUCAUUGGGCGUAAAGGGUGCGUAGGCGGCGGUGCAAGUCGGAUGUGAAAUCUCAGGGCUCAACCCUGAAACUGCAUUCGAUACUGCCUUGCUCGAGGACUGGAGAGGAGAUUGGAAUUCACGGUGUAGCAGUGAAAUGCGUAGAUAUCGUGAGGAAGACCAGUGGCGAAGGCGGAUCUCUGGACAGUUCCUGACGCUGAGGCACGAAGGCCAGGGGAGCAAACGGG